GUAGGUGGCAAGCGUUGUCCGGAAUUAUUGGGCGUAAAGCGCGCGCAGGCGGGUUCUUUAAGUCUGAUGUGAAAGCCCACGGGCUCAACCGUGGAGGGUCAUUGGAAACUGGAGAACUUGAGUACAGAAGAGGAAAGCGGAAUUCCACGUGUAGCGGUGAAAUGCGUAGAGAUGUGGAGGAACACCAGUGGCGAAGGCGGCUUUCUGGUCUGUAACUGACGCUGAGGCGCGAAAGCGUGGGGAGCAAACAGGAUUAGAUACCCUGGUAGUCCACGCCGUAAACGAUGAGUGCUAAGUGUUAGGGGGUUUCCGCCCCUUAGUGCUGCAGUUAACGCAUUAAGCACUCCGCCCGGGGAGUACGGCCGCAAAGGCUG
This 374-nucleotide ribosomal RNA is filed under the name uncultured organism. RNAcentral's name for it is "partial 16S ribosomal RNA". It matches the Rfam family "Bacterial small subunit ribosomal RNA", at positions 527 to 896 of the family's 1533-position model. The record is from RNAcentral.